UCACACAUUCUACACUUAUGCGAAAAACAUAUUUCAAGGUAAAUGGAUUUCCAAAAGAAAAAAAUUGCCUUAUUUAUUUAGUUGGACUUUCAUUCGCUAAAAGUAACUUCAUACAUGGCAUACGAUGCACCUAGCUAUAUCUGGUUCCUUGGGGGAUGAAUAUCCUCGCAGAACGAGCAGUUCCACCCCUCGGGAAAACACGCGCCCGUCCCUUGUUACUCGAUUUGGUACUAUGUCUUGCACUGGUUGGCACCGCAUGACCCAUCCGUGAUGGCUGAAUUCUUCUUGUGGUUCGUCUUUGAUGUGGUAGAUUUUCCAUGCCUGAAAGUAAACACAUAUAAGCACACAUAAGAAAAGUAUUUUGGAAUGAACUAAGGAUACAUAUGUGCAAGCGAAAUGAAUUAAUUUGAUUCUUUGUGAGAAGCAUACCAGAUGAGGAUAUCACGAGCAUAAGGGUAAUAGUUGUGCACAAUACUUGGCUAAUCCUCAUUAUAGUUGUGGAUGGAAGUCGAUCUUGAUUGAGGGUUUG
Molecule: long non-coding RNA, 529 nt
Filed under: Hordeum vulgare
Lineage: Eukaryota; Viridiplantae; Streptophyta; Magnoliopsida; Poales; Poaceae
Description: long non-coding RNA (HVUL_LNC016866)
Source: RNAcentral